This is a non-coding RNA of Microcebus murinus (gray mouse lemur), 2733 nucleotides long. The record is from RefSeq and is a predicted model, not a curated record. NCBI's taxonomy places the organism in Eukaryota, Metazoa, Chordata, Mammalia, Primates, Cheirogaleidae.
AGAGGAAAAAAUGAUGCGCAUAGAUUUCAAGUCUCAUCUUUUUGCAAAUUAAAAAAAAAUGGAAAUUUAAAUAUAUAAUUCAGAGUAAUCUGCUGAUUAGAAGGUGGUCAAAUCGAGGCCCUGGUCAUGGUCUACAGUGGCCUUUGUGGACCUGUCCAGAAUGACAGCUGACCCUUAGAUCCACUGAUGCUGCUGUGGCCGGCUCCCAGAGGAGGCGACAUCGCCGGUGUCUCCUUCCCUCGCUGCUCUCACAAUAGAGAUGAAGCCGCCUCUAACAUGAAGUCCAGCAAAAUUUGAAAACUCUCCCGUAAUUUUGGCCAAUAGAAACAAGAGGAUGGAGGGCCAAACACAUAACUGACAUCCCUUUGUCCUGCCUGGUGAAUCCUAUACUCACUCCCAAAAUUUAAGUUGCCAUGGAAUCAAGGAAGGAAGUGAAAAACAUGACACGCAGUCUUGAUGGACCUGCUAUCCCUAGGAAGUUCUUAGACUUAACUUUAACUUCAUCUUUGUUAAAUCUCCAUGUCAGCCAAGGAAACCCUCCCUCUGCUUUCUCGCCUGGCCUUGCCCAAUGUCUUCGAUGCUUUCAAUCGUCCCUCUCUGAGAGUCCUCUCCACUCAGCUCCGAUUGUCAGAUUUAUUUCACCGUACAUAGCCCAGUUCAAAUUCUUUAGUGUUAUUUAAAUACAAAAGAUUGUUACAAUGUAAAUGUGCAUAACGUAAAAAUUAAUAAUCUUUGCAUCGCCAAUCCACCAGAAAAGCAACAGUUUUUAACUGAUACAUAUCUAUGUUUUUCUACAUUUACACUAAUACAUACAAGCAUACGUGAACAUAUAAAGACACUUUUUUAGGUGUCUGUAGUAUGUAAUGUAUCCUGUACACUGGCAGAAGUCACUGUAGAUAAAUCUACAUCAUUCUUUUUAGUAGAUACAAUUUGUUCCAUAGUGUGGACAUGCAUAACUAAUGCAACCAGCCCUUUAUUGAUUGAUCUCCAGGUUAUUUCUGGUUUUACUAUUUUUAAAUUUCUGUGAUAACUAUUCUUGCCCAUAUAUCUUUAUAUAUAUUAAUGCUUUUAUUUCCAGGGCAUAGAGUCCUCAAAGUAGGGAUCUGACUCAGUCUCUGGAUUGUUAAAGUCCUUGAUGUCUCCAUAAUUUAUUUGACUCCCAUAUAUUUUCAUAAAAUGAUAAUAACAGCUGAUAAUUACUGAGCAAAUACCAAAGUCCAAGUAUUUGUUAACGACUUUGUAAGCAUCUCAUUUAAUCCUCACAGCAGCUCCUGAGAUACACGUGAUUAUGAUCUCUGUCUUACAGAAGACAAAACUAAGACACUGUGGUCAACAAAGCAGAUACUUCUCUGCUCUCACGGAGCACGUGGGAGGCGCCCCUGGAAUCACUUGAUAUGGCGGUGACCGGUCUGACAGGUGCUAUGCGGGGAGGGGAGCUGUGAGGGCUCAUUCCAGGGUCCUGAGAGUCAGGACAAUCGGGGAGGUGUCCCUGAAGAGUGAGCUUCAGCCGAGGCAGGUGGAUAAAUAAAAGCAGAGCUGGCUCGGGGCGGGAUGGGGAGAGCAGUGUCAGUGCACAGAGAAUCGCACGCCUGAGGCUCAGGCACGGACGUGAGCAUGUCUCAAAGGCCCACAGGAAGGCCAGUGACACCAGGGCACAGAAAGGGUACAGGGUAAGGAGCCAGGCCAAAUUAGAUUUCAGCCAGGUUCUGAACUUCACUGUAAGAUCAGCGGGAAGUGACCAAAGCAUUUAAACAAGAGGGAUUUGUUGUGGAAAACUCAUCCUCCUCUUUGCUGACAUCCCUGCUCCAUACAGCCCUAAAGAGAGAGGCAGAUUGUGGUAAAAGAGAGAGAACUCAGGCCUAGAGAUAAAAGGGUGGGUAACACAGGCUCCCACAGCCUCAGUUUCCUCAGCAGUAGAACAUCUGUACGUAGAGGUGCUAUGAAGACUUCGCUAGCUUGUGUAUGUAUCUGGAAUUUAGCAGGCACCAAAUACAGGUUGAUUUUCUUCUUAUUUCCAUCCUGCUUAGGCUUAUUGCUCUCCACCUCUACGAAGUCUCUUUGUCUGGCCAAAACCUCCCCCAGGCUCCACUUUUGCCUGCUUUUCAUCCUCUGGCGCUUACAGCUGCAGAAUCCUCUGUCUCAGCCUCCCCUACUUACACCAAGCCAGACUCAUGAACAUCAUGUGCCAGUGGAACUAACAGAGAAGCACAGUGUGGUGGCUGGACCAUGCACUCAGAGUCACAGUGCCACCUUGGACGGCCAGCCCUCCAGGGUCCAUGGUAAAGUUGGAAAAUUUUCCAUAAUACCUCGCACCCUUGUCUAGUCUCUCUGCCCUUGGUGGAUUCCCUCCUCUUCCCACCGAGUCUGUUCCUGUUAUCUUCUCACCGCUUGUAUUAAGAGACCGACCAACAACAAAUAAAGGGCAGAGAUGGAAGAAGCAGAUGAGAAGGUGAUGCAAAUGAGGACAACAUUAUGAAUCCCAUGGAGGAGACGGUUGCCGGGGACAGUCUGGUGCCACUCCAUAGAAACUGCUCCAGUGAGUGUGACCAAAGAUCCCUUAACUGCCAAUUCAUAGUGCCCUUUCCCUGGUUAUCUUAUACCUGAUCACUCUGUACCCUACCCUCUUCAGUUUUUUAAGUUUUUCUGAUUGUAAAGUGUGAAGUUUAUUCUAGAGAAUUUUGUACACUUGGAAAAUUUUAAAUAAAAAAAAAAAACUUCUCUGGAUCCAUCAUA